This is a long non-coding RNA of Gopherus evgoodei (Goodes thornscrub tortoise), 540 nucleotides long. RefSeq lists it as uncharacterized. The record is from RefSeq and is a predicted model, not a curated record. The transcript is spliced from 3 exons. NCBI's taxonomy places the organism in Eukaryota, Metazoa, Chordata, Testudines, Testudinidae.
CGCUCUGGGUGGCCACGUGACGGCAGCGAAGAGCGCGCGCGCGAGCUGGUUCAUCCGGGCACCUUCGUGGCGGCGGCGGAUGAGGUACACUUCAGUGCCACAAAACUAAACAGCAAGACUUGGCUCAUCAUGGAAUUCUAAUGGGUAGUUAAGCAAAGUUCCAGCUCGGUUGACAGGAUAGAUCCCGGUAGGAAUCCUGUAUCUUAAUGGACUCCGAAGACAACACCACUGGGCAAUGAAGAGAAGAAGAUUCUGAUGGAUGAGGCUGUAUAAUGAAGCAUGAUGUUGAUCUCUGGUUCAUGUUGACCACAAAGCCUAGCUGAAAUCAUUAUUUUGCUCUCUGCCAGCUGCCACAUACAAUCUUCCUACCUGCUUGGACAACCUUUGAAUACAGCAGGAAUUUAUCUCCAGAGUUAGGGGUGUCAGUCUGUCUGACCCUGGAGAUAAGUUAAUAUGCCUUUACCCCGAUAGAACGCGACCCAAUAUAACACGAAUUCAGAUAAAAUGCAGUAAAGCAGCGGGGAGCUCCGGGCCCUUUAA